This is a long non-coding RNA of Papaver somniferum (opium poppy), 1784 nucleotides long. RefSeq lists it as uncharacterized. NCBI's taxonomy places the organism in Eukaryota, Viridiplantae, Streptophyta, Magnoliopsida, Ranunculales, Papaveraceae. The record is from RefSeq and is a predicted model, not a curated record. The transcript has 5 exons.
UAUUUUUAUACGCCUCACUUCCGAAAGGCGAAUCAUCUUAUUUUUAAUCUCAUAUAUACCCUUUCAUUAUUGAUAAAGAGAAAAUCAUCGUUUAAUUUAUUUAUUAAUAAUACUCUUUCAGAUCUGAAAUUAAAUCGUCUCUCCUCCUCUUUCAGCCACCACCACCGUCACCGCCUCUGCCACCAUAACCACCUCUGCUACUACCACCGCCUCCGCCAUCACCACUACCACCACCGGUGCAGUAGCCAACAGAUUAAUACCCAAGAAAACCAGUUGAUUAUUUUUGGUUCAUUUGAGAGAGAGAUAUAUUUUCGGAGGUGAUUUGAAAUUUUGGGGGAGAUAUCUUCAUCUAAAAUCAAUUAAAUUUUCGAGAUCGACCUUCAUAGUCAUCAUCAACAGUUUCAUCUUCUUCUUCUCAAACUAAGAGUUAUUUCAAUGUCGAUUGAAGAUCCAAACGACAGAGGUAGAAAUUAGAUUUUCGAAUUUGUUUCUGGUUGGUAAGGCAUAUGAAUAUGGCGGAGGAGGUGAUUUAUAGUAGUAUGGUGCAGGUACUGGAGAGGGUGGUCGAGGAGGUGGUGAUUUGUAGUAGUUAGAGCAGGUAUUGGAGAUAGUGGAGGUGACAUGUAAUAUGGAACAUGUACUCUAUAUUUCCGAUAUUUAACUUCAGGUAGAAGUGUUGCACACUCAAUUUUAGGUCUGCAAUUCAUUUCUAGUAAGGCUCUUACUGCAUCAAACUAAGUCUUGGUUGUUUGCACUUGAUCAGAGUGUUUCUUUCAUCACUUACAAAUGACUAUCUUAAACUAAUAAUGUUGAUGGUUGCAUCACUUACAGUGUCUAUGGUAAAUAUAUAUGUUAUUGGAUUUAAGUUGUUGAGAGUUAUGACCAUCAACUUCAAUGCUUCGUACUAUUUCAAUUGAGCAGUUGCGAAAGAUUACAAAGUUCAGGUAUCUCAAAUUACCUUGAGAUUACAGAGAUGGACUUGGCAUCCUUAACUCAUGGAUUCUGUAUGGGACUCAAGUCCUGCGUCAUUGUGUUCCUCUCCUUGUGCUUGUGUCAACCUAUCUACUUGUUGUUCGUCUGUCAGGCUUGUCAAUUUCUUCAUAAACAUUUUCAAUAUUGGUGAUGGAAAAGGUGGAAUUGGUUAGGGACUGGAGUUGGAGCUAGAGAGCGUGUACGCAAGUGGUGGUAUUAGUGAAGUAGUUGGACUGGAAGAGGUGGAAUUGGUUGGGGUCUGGAGUUGGAGCUAAUGAACAAAGGUAGUUGACACAACCAACAGCGGUGGUGGUAGACUGGCGGCGGGUGGCGGCGGCGGCGCGACGAUGGUGGAUUGGCGGCGGCGCGACGAUGGUGGAUUGGCGGCGGCGCGGCGGUGGUGGACUGGUGGUUGUGGCGGUAUACCGGUGGUGAACUAGCGGUGGUGGUGGUGUUCCGGUGGUGGUGGCAGUUGGUAGGUGGUGCUGGAUAUGUGGUGGUGCCAACAGUGGUGGUGGUGGCGGCGAAGUGGUGUUCCGGUGGUGGUGGCAGUUGGUAGGUGGUGCUGGAUAUGUGGUGGUGCCAACAGUGGUGGUGCCAACAGUGGUGGUAGAGAAAGAAAUUUGUUGUAUAGAUCGAAAUAAAGAAAAAUAUUUUAUGGGUGAGGGUUUUAAUGUAAUCUAUUUUUAAUUAGAUAAUUUUUUUAAAUGAUACGAUAUAUUUAUUAUUGGAUAAGAGUAUAUUUAUUGGAUGUCAAAAUUAGGGGUAUAUAAUUAAUGUACCCUUAUUGAAAAUCCAGAUUUUGAUCUUGA